RNAcentral lists this non-coding RNA (148 nucleotides) under Homo sapiens (human). The record is from Rfam by way of RNAcentral. Lineage: Eukaryota; Metazoa; Chordata; Mammalia; Primates; Hominidae.
GCCGGGCAUGGUGGUGCAUGCCUGUAAUCCCAGCUACUUGGGAGGCUGAGGCAGAAGAAUUGCUUGAACCCAGGAGGUGGAGGUUGCAGUGAGCCAAGAUCAGGCCACUGCACUGCAGCCUGGGCGACAGAGCAAGACUCCAUCUCAA